UACGUAGGGUGCGAGCGUUGUCCGGAAUUAUUGGGCGUAAAGAGCUCGUAGGCGGCUUGUUACGUCGGAUGUGAAAGCCCGGGGCUUAACUCCGGGUCUGCAUUCGAUACGGGCAGGCUAGAGUUCGGUAGGGGAGAUCGGAAUUCCUGGUGUAGCGGUGAAAUGCGCAGAUAUCAGGAGGAACACCGGUGGCGAAGGCGGAUCUCUGGGCCGAUACUGACGCUGAGGAGCGAAAGCGUGGGGAGCAAACAGG
This 253-nucleotide ribosomal RNA is filed under the name uncultured bacterium. RNAcentral's name for it is "partial 16S ribosomal RNA". It matches the Rfam family "Bacterial small subunit ribosomal RNA", at positions 524 to 776 of the family's 1533-position model. The record is from RNAcentral.